GUCGCUGCACCAAACACCCACACGGGGGUACCGGGUACGGGACAUCCCGGCCCUUCCUUUCCUUCUCGCGCGCGACCAAAUAACUCCUCACUAAAACCCUAGGGCUCCCGGCCGCCACUGCCUACGCCGUCGCCAUGGAGACCCUCAAGCGCAAGGCCGUGGACAGCCCCGGAGACGCCUACCAGGCCUCUUCUCUCAAGCCGCCGCUCGCCGCCGCCGCCGUGGAGCCUCGCGCUCCGACCACCCUCGCGGCCGCCGAACCAGUCGCUUGCGUGCACGACGUCUCCUACCCCGAGGGCUACGACCCAUCCGCCUCUACGUCCCGCGCCAUUGCCGGCGGAGCUGAUGCCUCUGAGCCAGCAAAGAAGUUUCCUUUCCAGCUCGACCCCUUCCAGGCCGAGGCCAUACGCUGCCUCGACAAUGGUGAAUCCGUCAUGGUUUCAGCUCAUACGUCAGCGGGAAAGACAGUAGUCGCGUUGUAUGCAAUAGCGAUGUCUUUGCGCAACCAACAGCGGGUCAUUUAUACAUCUCCAAUCAAGGCACUGAGCAACCAAAAGUACAGGGAGUUCAAAGAAGAGUUCUCUGAUGUUGGUCUCAUGACUGGGGAUGUCACAAUUGAGCCGAAUGCCUCCUGUCUGGUCAUGACCACAGAAAUUUGGCGGAGCAUGCAAUACAAGGGAUCUGAGGUCAUGAGGGAAGUUGCCUGGGUUAUAUUUGAUGAGGUGCAUUACAUGCGGGAUAGAGAGAGAGGAGUGGUUUGGGAGGAGAGUAUAGUGAUGGCUCCCAAGAAUUCACGCUUUGUCUUCCUCUCGGCAACUGUACCUAAUGCCAAGGAGUUCGCUGAUUGGGUAGCUAAGGUACAUAAGCAACCCUGUCAUAUAGUAUACACCGACUAUAGACCUACACCUCUUCAGCACUAUGUAUUUCCUUCUGGAGGGGACGGAUUAUACCUUGUAGUGGAUGAGAAGGGCAAGUUCAGAGAGGACAGUUUUCAGAAAGCAUUGAACGCCCUUGUCCCUGCUAGCGACAGUGCCAAGAAGAAGGAAAAUGGGAAGCGGCAGAAAUUUACCAUGGCAGGUACAUCUAGUGAGGAAAGUGACAUAUUCAAGAUGGUGAAGAUGAUAAUUCAGCGCCAAUAUGAUCCUGUAAUACUUUUUAGCUUUAGCAAAAGGGAAUGCGAAUUUCUUGCUAUGCAGAUGGCUAAGAUGGACUUGAAUGAGGAUGAUGAGAAGGCAAACAUCGAAACAAUUUUUUGGAGUGCUAUGGAUAUGCUUUCUGAUGAUGACAAAAAGCUUCCUCAGGUUUCAAACAUGCUCCCCUUACUGAAACGCGGCAUUGGCGUGCAUCAUUCUGGUCUGUUGCCUAUUUUAAAGGAAGUCAUUGAGAUACUCUUUCAGGAGGGCCUCAUCAAGUGUUUGUUUGCCACAGAAACAUUCAGUAUUGGUUUGAACAUGCCUGCAAAGACUGUUGUGUUUACCAAUGUGCGAAAAUUUGACGGAGACCGAUUCAGAUGGUUGUCGAGUGGAGAGUACAUCCAAAUGAGUGGCCGUGCUGGUCGUCGAGGUAUUGAUCUGCGUGGUAUCUGUAUACUGAUGGUAGACGAGAAAAUGGAACCUUCAACUGCCAAAAUGAUGCUGAAAGGAAGUGCAGAUAGUUUGAACAGUGCCUUUCAUCUGAGCUACAAUAUGCUGUUAAAUCAAAUGCGAUCUGAGGAUGGGGAUCCAGAAAAGCUCCUCCGGCAUUCAUUUUAUCAAUUUCAGGCUGACCGUUCUCUUCCUGAUCUUGAGAAGCAAAUCAAGGAACUGGAAUCAGAGAGAAAUUCCAUGGUAAUUGAGGAAGCGGAGAGCUUGAAGGAUUAUUACGAUCUCUUACAGCAGCACAGGAGUUUAAAGAAGGAUGUCCAUGAUAUUGUUCUCUCUCCCAAACAUGUGCUGCCUUUCUUGCAACCUGGAAGGCUUGUCCGCAUUGAAUAUAGUACAGAUGAGCCAGCUAACUUUUCCAUUGAUGAAAAUGUCACAUGGGGAAUUAUAAUUAACUUCGAAAAAGUGAAGUCACAUGGUGAAGAUAAGAGGCCUGAGGAUUCUGAUUACACGGUUGAUGUCCUUACCAGAUGUUCUGUAACUAAGGACAACAGUGGUAAGAAAACAAUGAAGGUUGUUCCUCUGAAAGCGCGUGGAGAACCAGUUGUAGUUUCAUUGUCACUUUCACAGAUUGAUGGACUAAGCAGCAUACGGAUGUACAUACCUAAGGAUCUUAUACCUGUAGAAGUUCGAGAAAACACCUUGAGGAAAGUUGAAGAAGUCCUUUUAAGGUUUGCUAAAGAUGGUGUGCCUCUAUUGGAUCCAGAAGAAGAUAUGAAAGUACAAUCGAAAUCAUUUCGGAAAGCUACCAGACGAAUAGAAGCUCUUGAGAGCUUGUUUGAGAAGCACGAUAUCCGUAACUCUCCACAUAUCCAGCAAAAGCUGAAAGUCUUUCAUGCUAAGCAAGAACUAUCAGCCAAAAUAAAGUCCAUAAAGAAAACAAUGCGGUCUUCCACCGCUUUAGCUUUCAAGGAUGAACUCAAGGCCCGGAAACGUGUUCUUCGCAGGCUGGGGUAUUGCAUUUUAUUCUGACAUAAAUUGAUUCUUUGCCAGGUUUUGCUGGUUUGGUACUUUUAAGAUGAAGUGCCCUACUUACAUAUAUAAUCCCCGACCUGCUAAAAAUGUAUGUUACGAGUGAUGAUGUUGUGGAAGUUAAGGGCAAAGUGGCGUGUGAGAUAAGUUCAGCUGAUGAGCUUACAUUGACAGAGCUUAUGUUUAGUGGUGCUCUGAAGGAUGCUACAGUAGAGCAGGUGGUGGCACUGCUCUCUUGCUUUGUUUGGCAGGAGAAGCUCCAGGAUGCUCCGAAGCCAAGAGAGGAGCUCGAUUUGCUCUUCUACCAGCUGCAGGAGACAGCAAGAAGGGUUGCUAACCUUCAGCUUGAAUGCAAGAUCCAGAUCGAUGUGGAAAGUUUUGUGAAUUCUUUCCGACCCGACAUAAUGGAAGCGGUGUAUUCAUGGGCCAGAGGGUCGAAGUUCUACCAAAUCAUGGAGAUGACCCAAGUGUUCGAAGGAAGCCUGAUCAGGGCCAUCAGGAGGCUGGAGGAGGUUCUGCAGCAGCUGAUUCUGGCAUCCAAGUCCAUUGGGGAAACGGAGUUAGAAGCAAAACUCGAGGAGGCGGUCAACAAGAUCAAGAGGGACAUAGUGUUUGCAGCAUCUUUAUACUUGUAGUGUCUUGGAUGUCUGGUUUUAUGUCAGGGGCUAGGUCAAAAGCUCAUAGGGAUUUAAAUUAAUCUUAAAUUGCUGUUCAUGUUGAGUGUUGUUGGCAUGAUGAAGCUGUCUGAUUUGCUGUUAGCGGUGACAUGGCAGUGAAAGUUUUGUUAGGUUUCUUCACCGUGUAGGGUCUAUUUGACAUUCAAGAAUUUUGUAGGAAGCAAUACAAUUCUGGCAGACCUCACAUUAACAGCCUUAGCAUGUACGAUAGAUAGCUAUUUAUCUCAUCUGUCAGGAAUAGCCCAGAGAUACUGCGUGUUUGUGGAGUAUAAGCAGUGUAAGUUAAGUGAUCGUGCUUGUGUUUGUAAGUGCAGUUCAAAGCAAGUCGGCCGAUGGAGAUGUCCCUGGAUGAAAACUUGUAGUAUUUGUCUUGCACUCUUGCUUGUUUGAAUGUUAUUGGCCGGCUGAUGGUCACGUGCAUGCAUGCGUGAA
This is an RNA transcript of Zea mays, 3721 nucleotides long. It is a transcript of the gene named DExH-box ATP-dependent RNA helicase DExH9, with no coding region annotated. The record is from RefSeq and is a predicted model, not a curated record. The transcript is spliced from 14 exons. Lineage: Eukaryota; Viridiplantae; Streptophyta; Magnoliopsida; Poales; Poaceae.